Molecule: long non-coding RNA, 1212 nt
Organism: Gorilla gorilla gorilla (western lowland gorilla)
Lineage: Eukaryota; Metazoa; Chordata; Mammalia; Primates; Hominidae
Exons: 4
Source: RefSeq, a predicted model, not a curated record
GCCACCACACCCGGCUAAUUUUUGUAUUUUUAGUAGAGACGAGGUUUCACCAUGUUGGCCAGGCUGGUCUCAAACUCCUGAUCUCAGGUGAUCCACCCACCUUGGCCUCCCCAAGUGCUGGGAUUACAGGCAUGAUCCACUGUGCCCAGUCCCUGGAGUUUUGCUUUUGUCACCCAGGCUGGAAUGCAGUGGCGUGAUCUCGGCUCACUGCAACCUCCUCAUCCUGGGUUCAAGUGAUUCUCCUGCCUCAGCCUCCCAAGUAGCUGGGAUUAAAAGUGUCCGCCACCAUGCCUAACUAAUUUUUGUAUUUUUAGUAGAGACAGUGUUUCACCAUGUUGGCCAGGCUGGCCUCAAACUCCUGGCCUCAAGUGAUCCUCCUGCCUCACCCUCCUUAAGUGCUAGGAUUACAGGCAUGAGUCACCAUGCCCGGCCUAGUAAAGUGAAAUAAUUUAUUGGCAAUUAUUUUUCCAGCAGAACUAUUUUAUACUAUGAUUUGAAAUAAAUUAGACUUCAAAGUUAGCCAAAAACACAAUCAAAGGAAGUCUUAAUUCUUUAAACUCUUGGUAUGAAAACAUUUUACAAUGGAUUUUCUUCACUAAUGUCAAAACUGAAAUUAUUUCAAACUGUAGGAAUCACAUAUAUGCUACCUAAAUUAUUAUUAAAAUUAGUAGAGGCAGUAGGCUUUACAGAAAUAACUGUACUAUCUCUAAUAUGUGCACAAUUUUGUUUUUAUUGGUUUUUUUUGUUUUUGUUUUUUGUUUUGGUGGCAGGGGAUACUGUCUCCCUCUGUCUCCCAGGCUGGAGUGCAAUGGUGGGAUCUUGGCUCACUGCAGCUUUGAACUCCUGGGCUCAAUCCUCUCACUUCAACCUCCUGAGUAGCUGGGACUACAGGGCUUCUUCGCUGGAAUGAGGAAGAGGAGGAAGCCAAGGAAGACAGAGACUGUGGCAUCAGUGGAAUCACUGACUGCACAACUUGGGGACAGUACGUUUAUCAUGUGGACUCCAUUGGCUGACAGCGACAUGACUUUGCCAAUUCUGUACCUACAUGGGUCCUCUCCCUGGACGGGUCCUAUGGCUCUGGUGUCAGCCCAACCCUUUGGUGAAAAAAACAGCUGAAGUGGACAUCCCGCAGUGAUCUGAGACCACUGUCCUGGUGGCACACUGGGAGCUAGAAGGAUGCCCUAUGUCCUGGCAUCCCAAAUAAGACUUACA